This 484-nucleotide ribosomal RNA is filed under the name uncultured bacterium. RNAcentral's name for it is "bacterial SSU rRNA". It matches the Rfam family "Bacterial small subunit ribosomal RNA", at positions 28 to 526 of the family's 1533-position model. The record is from RNAcentral.
GACGAACGCUGGCGGCGUGCUUAACACAUGCAAGUCGAGCGGUAAGGCCCCUUCGGGGGUACACGAGCGGCGAACAGGUGAGUAACACGUGAGCAAUCUGCCCAUCACUUCGGGAUAACUCCGGGAAACCGAAGCUAAUACCGAAUACGACCACCUCCGGCAUCGGAUGGUGGUGGAAAGUUCCGGCGGUGAUGGAUGAGCUCGCGGCCUAUCAGCUUGUUGGUGGGGUAACGGCCCACCAAGGCUUCGACGGGUAGCCGGCCUGAGAGGGUGACCGGCCACACUAAGACUGAGACACGGCCCAGACUCCUACAGGAGGCAGCAGUAAGGAAUAUUGGACAAUGGGCGAAAGCCUGAUCCAGCAACGCCGCGUGAGGGAUGACGGCCUUCGGGUUGUAAACCUCUUUCAGCAGGGACGAAGCGCAAGUGACGGUACCUGCAGAAGAAGCACCGGCCAACUACGUGCCAGCAGCCGCAGUAAAAC